Molecule: long non-coding RNA, 85 nt
Organism: Salarias fasciatus (jewelled blenny)
Lineage: Eukaryota; Metazoa; Chordata; Actinopteri; Blenniiformes; Blenniidae
Exons: 3
Source: RefSeq, a predicted model, not a curated record
GAGGAGCCAGCUGAGGUGGCUCGGGCAUCUGUUAAGGAUGCCUCCCGGACGCCUCCCCAGGGAAGUAUUCAGGUCAGGUCCCACC